Molecule: ribosomal RNA, 497 nt
Filed under: uncultured bacterium
Lineage: Bacteria
Description: partial 16S ribosomal RNA
Rfam family: Bacterial small subunit ribosomal RNA
Source: RNAcentral
GAUGAACGCUGGCGGCGUGCCUAAUACAUGCAAGUCGAGCGAACAGACGAGGAGCUUGCUCCUCUGACGUUAGCGGCGGACGGGUGAGUAACACGUGGAUAACCUACCUAUAAGACUGGGAUAACUUCGGGAAACCGGAGCUAAUACCGGGUAAUAUAUUGAACCGCAUGGUUCAAUAGUGAAAGACGGUUUUGCUGUCACUUAUAGAUGGAUCCGCGCCGCAUUAGCUAGUUGGUAAGGUAACGGCUUACCAAGGCAACGAUGCGUAGCCGACCUGAGAGGGUGAUCGGCCACACUGGAACUGAGACACGGUCCAGACUCCUACGGGAGGCAGCAGUAGGGAAUCUACCGCAAUGGGCGAAAGCCUGACGGAGCAACGCCGCGUGAGUGAUGAAGGUCUUCGGAUCGUAAAACUCUGUUAUUAGGGAAGAACAAAUGUGUAAGUAACUAUGCACGUCUUGACGGUACCUAAUCAGAAAGCCACGGCUAACUACGUG